AAGCGUUCACCUCACUUUUCGAGGCGCAGCUCGAUCCAAGCCAUGGAACGGGGGCUUGGG
Molecule: regulatory RNA element, 60 nt
Organism: Synechococcus sp.
Lineage: Bacteria; Bacillati; Cyanobacteriota; Cyanophyceae; Synechococcales; Synechococcaceae
Rfam family: Glutamine-II riboswitch aptamer
About the family: The major groove of the PK provides the binding site for L-glutamine
Source: Rfam